GGCAUGGGGAUCAGAGUGGGUUUCCCUCACUGUUCUCCCCAGCAGCUCCAGGUCCUAGAGCUUUGGCUCUGGUCCAACCUGAGUCUACCUCAGCACACAGCCAGGUGGCUCAUGGGUAAAGGCCAAGUGUUGACCCCUCAGCCACAUACUUCACAGUCAAAAUCAAGCCCCACGGAUCCUUCCCCAGUAGCACACAAUGAAGACAUUAGCGGUGCAGAUCCUGCCCCUUCUAGAAGUUUCGCUCCCCUCCGUUCUGGAACACAUUUCUGACUACACGCAUGCUGUUCUUUACGUGAGCCUUCUAAAACUGCAUCUGCUCAUGAGGAAGGAAAAUCCACACUUGACUGUGAGUGCCACCAGCCAAUGGGCUUGGGUGACAGAGUCGCAGUCUAUGACAGCGGAGAGAUACGGCCUCUUCUCUUCUGGAAGCAGUAAGCUUCUUCACAUCAUGACAGACACGGCGUCAGAGAUCCAGACAGGAAGUGGGCAGGGACAACACAUGCCUAAGGACUUCUUCCAACAGAGCCACACCUGCUUAAAGGAUCUCAAACCGUCUAGAGAACAGAUUAUCAGCGUAUGAACCGUGGGGGACAUUUCAGAGUCAAACCAUAAUGUCUAACUGAAUUUUACACAAGGAGAUCCACUAGUUGUGAAUCAAGAGGAGGCUGGGAAGAAGGCUCAGCUAGGAAGACUUGCCACAUAAGCGUAAAGAAUGGACUUGGGCUCCUCUUCCCUCAAACUUCUCUCCCGCCCAUCCUUCCUUCUUGUCCAAUGACAGGCCUCCUUCUAUCCUGUACCUGCCCUCACCUGUAUUUUACACAUUAAAUGGGGAGAAGGUUCCGGUGAAGUCACCUGAGUCCUGAGUACAUGACUAGGCAGCCUCCUUGGGGCAGUGGAUUUAGCAUCAACAUACAGAUAACUCCAGGGCAAACCAGAACAAGGAUGCUCACAUCAAGGCUACACAAGAAGUGAAGAACAAGGUUAGGGCAACUGGAGGGCAGUAUCUUCAAGCCCUGUCCCCACUUCCUCCAGCCA
Non-coding RNA from Rattus norvegicus (Norway rat), 1035 nucleotides. NCBI's taxonomy places the organism in Eukaryota, Metazoa, Chordata, Mammalia, Rodentia, Muridae. The record is from RefSeq and is a predicted model, not a curated record.